Molecule: non-coding RNA, 104 nt
Organism: Leucogyrophana mollusca
Lineage: Eukaryota; Fungi; Basidiomycota; Agaricomycetes; Boletales
Source: the annotation of a GenBank genome assembly
UCGGGUGUGGUGUAACGGUUAACAUUGCUGUCUUUCAAGCAACUUGAUUACCAAAUCAGCUUGUGAGGCCACAGCGGCCCCGGGUUCGACUCCCGGCAUCCGAA